ACUCCUACGGGAGGCAGCAGUGGGGAAUAUUGGACAAUGGGCGAAAGCCUGAUCCAGCCAUGCCGCGUGUGUGAAGAAGGUCUUCGGAUUGUAAAGCACUUUAAGUUGGGAGGAAGGGCAGUAAGUUAAUACCUUGCUGUUUUGACGUUACCGACAGAAUAAGCACCGGCUAACUCUGUGCCAGCAGCCGCGGUAAUACAGAGGGUGCAAGCGUUAAUCGGAAUUACUGGGCGUAAAGCGCGCGUAGGUGGUUUGUUAAGUUGGAUGUGAAAGCCCCGGGGCUCAACCUGGGAACUGCAUCCAAAACUGGCAAGCUAGAGUACGGUAGAGGGUGGUGGAAUUUCCUGUGUAGCGGUGAAAUGCGUAGAUAUAGGAAGGAACACCAGUGGCGAAGGCGACCACCUGGACUGAUACUGACACUGAGGUGCGAAAGCGUGGGGAGCAAACAGGAUUAGAUA
This 458-nucleotide ribosomal RNA is filed under the name uncultured bacterium. RNAcentral's name for it is "bacterial SSU rRNA". It matches the Rfam family "Bacterial small subunit ribosomal RNA", at positions 335 to 784 of the family's 1533-position model. The record is from RNAcentral.